AAUGAACGCUGGCGGCAUGCCUUACACAUGCAAGUCGAACGGCAGCAUGACCUAGCUUGCUUGGUUGAUGGCGAGUGGCGAACGGGUGAGUAAUGCAUCGGAACGUGCCUUUUAGUGGGGGAUAACGUAGCGAAAGUUACGCUAAUACCGCAUAUUCUCUGAGGAGGAAAGCAGGGGACCUUCGGGCCUUGCGCUAGAAGAGCGGCCGAUGUCGGAUUAGCUAGUUGGUGAGGUAAAGGCUCACCAAGGCAACGAUCCGUAGCGGGUUUGAGAGGAUGAUCCGCCCAACUGGGACCGGGAACCGGGCCAGACCCCAUAGGGAGGGCGCGGGGGGGAAAUUUGGAAAAUGGGCGCAAGCCUGAUCCAGCCAUGCCGCGUGAGUGAAGAAGGCCUUCGGGUUGUAAAGCUCUUUCGGCUGGGAAGAAAUCGCACCCUCUAAUACAGGGUGUGGAUGACGGUACCAGCAUAAGAAGCACCGGCUAACUACGUG
This 490-nucleotide ribosomal RNA is filed under the name uncultured bacterium. RNAcentral's name for it is "partial 16S ribosomal RNA". It matches the Rfam family "Bacterial small subunit ribosomal RNA", at positions 29 to 507 of the family's 1533-position model. The record is from RNAcentral.